CAAUAGCGUAUAUUAAAGUUGUUGCAGUUAAAAAGCUCGUAGUUGGAUUUCGGGGCGGCCCGGCCGGUCCGCCGCGAGGCGAGCACUGGUCGGGCGCCCUUCCUCUCGAAGGCUUCGACUGCUCUUGAUUGCGGUGGUCGAGGAGUUCGGGACGUUUACUUUGAAAAAAUUAGAGUGUUCAAGGCAGGCCGUCGCCUGAAUACAUUAGCAUGGAAUAAUGGAAGAGGACCUCGGUCCUAUUUUGUUGGUUUCCAGGGCCGAAGUAAUGAUUAAGAGGGACAGUUGGGGGCAUUCGUAUUCAAUUGUCAGAGGUGAAAUUCUCGGAUUUAUGGAAGACGAACAAGUGCGAAAGCAUUUGCCAAGGAUGUUUUCAUUAA
Molecule: ribosomal RNA, 377 nt
Filed under: uncultured eukaryote
Lineage: Eukaryota
Description: partial 18S ribosomal RNA
Rfam family: Eukaryotic small subunit ribosomal RNA
Source: RNAcentral